This 253-nucleotide ribosomal RNA is filed under the name uncultured bacterium. RNAcentral describes it as "partial 16S ribosomal RNA". It matches the Rfam family "Bacterial small subunit ribosomal RNA", at positions 524 to 776 of the family's 1533-position model. The record is from RNAcentral.
UACGUAGGGUGCGAGCGUUAAUCGGAAUUACUGGGCGUAAAGCGUGCGCAGGCGGUUCGUUGUGUCGGCGGUGAAAGCCCCGGGCUUAACCUGGGAAUGGCCGUUGAAACUGGCGAACUGGAGUGUGGCAGAGGGGGGUGGAAUUCCGCGUGUAGCAGUGAAAUGCGUAGAGAUGCGGCGGAACACCGAUGGCGAAGGCAGCCCCCUGGGCUGAGAUUGACGCUCAGGCACGAAAGCGUGGGGAGCAAACAGG